This 446-nucleotide ribosomal RNA is filed under the name uncultured Caldilineaceae bacterium. Its description in RNAcentral is "bacterial SSU rRNA". It matches the Rfam family "Bacterial small subunit ribosomal RNA", at positions 925 to 1382 of the family's 1533-position model. The record is from RNAcentral. Lineage: Bacteria; Bacillati; Chloroflexota; Caldilineae; Caldilineales; Caldilineaceae.
ACAAGCAGCGAGCGUGUGGUUUAAUUCGAUGCGACACGAAGAACCUCACCUGGGAUUGACAUACAAGUAGUAGGGGAGCGAAAGCCGACCGAGCCGCAAGGCAGCUUGAACAGGUGCUGCAUGGCUGUCGUCAGCUCGUGCCGUGAGGUGUUGGGUUAAGUCCCACAACGAGCGCAACCCUUGUUGCCAGUUACAAGUAUCUGGCGAGACUGCCGGCGUAUAACCGGAGGAAGGUAGGGAUGACGUCAAGUCAGCAUGGCCUUUAUAUCCAGGGCUACACACACGCUACAAUGGCCGGUACAGAGGGCAGCGAAGCCGCGAGGCGGAGCCAAUCCCAGAAAGCCGGUCUCAGUUCAGAUUGCAGGCUGCAACCCGCCUGCAUGAAGUCGGAGUUGCUAGUAACCGCAGGUCAGCCAUACUCGCGGUCCGAAUACGUUCCGGGCCUU